AAUUUUUUAUUAUUAAUGGACUUUAUAACGGUCACUGUUAGAUUACUUUUGAAUCACACAGUACUUUUUAGCAUACAGCACCAAAAUGUUCUAUAUCUACAGGAUGAUCUGGACAUAUGUAUCCAAUCAUUUUCACGUAAAAAGUUCCUUCUGUUACAACUCCCUCCCCUCUCCCUUGACACCUACCAAAUGUAUUGUCAACGUUUGUUGUGGAGGAAAAUUCCUCUCUCCCUUCUUUAUCACCUUAGAAGAUCUGAAAUUUAACCAGUUUGGGAAAAUUCUACACUUUUUUGUUCAAAUUUUUGGCAUUCAAAGAAAAAAGUAAAGUAAUUGAGUUUAUAAAAAAAGAGCACAUAAUAUUAGUUCAUAAAAUGGAGUGAAAAUUAACAUUAAUUCUAUGACACAGUUUUUCAGAAUCAGCUCAACAGUUUGUAAAUUGGAGGUUUGCAAAAAUGCAACUUCAC
Molecule: long non-coding RNA, 464 nt
Filed under: Androctonus crassicauda
Lineage: Eukaryota; Metazoa; Arthropoda; Arachnida; Scorpiones; Buthidae
Source: RNAcentral